RNAcentral lists this ribosomal RNA (3194 nucleotides) under Candidatus Nealsoniibacteriota bacterium. RNAcentral describes it as "23S ribosomal RNA". It matches the Rfam family "Bacterial large subunit ribosomal RNA". Lineage: Bacteria; Candidatus Nealsoniibacteriota. The record is from RNAcentral.
GCAUUUUAUUUAAGGGCAGACGGUGGAUGCCUUGGAAUAUCGAGGCGAUGAAGGACGUGGGGAGUCUGCGAUAAGCUUCGGGGAGGUGACUCUCAACCUUUGAUCCGGAGAUUUCCGAAUGGGGAAACCCAUCCCGAUGAUAAGUCGGGAUACCGAGCAUAUUAUAUAUGUUCUGGAGCGAACCUGGGGAAGCGAAACAUCAUAGUACCCAGAGGAAAAGAAAAUGAAAGAUAAUUCCCUUAGUAGCGGCGAGCGAAGAGGGAAGAGCCCAAACUCUUUACUUUUUUUAAAAGUAAGGGGAGUUGUAAGAUGGUGACGUCAGGAGCCCAGCACUUCCUUAGUUUGCUGGAAGCGCUGGACUUUUUGAGGGAGAAUAUUUAGACGAAGUUUGGUUAGAGGAAGCACCCUGGAAAGGGGCGCCAUAGAGGGUAAUAGCCCCGUACUCGAAAAUCACUUCGCGCUCCUUGUUAUUAUUCUUGAGUACUUCGAGGCACGAAAACCUUGAAGGAAGCAGGCCGGACUAACCGGCCAAGGCUAAAUACUACGAUAUUUCCGAUAGUGAACCAGUACCGUGAGGGAAAGGUGAAAAGCAGCCCCGUGAGGGCGGUGAAAUAGAACCUGAAACCGUGUUGCCCACAAAGAGUCAGAGCCCCUUUUAUAGGGGUGAUGGCGUGCUUUUUGCAGAACGAGCCAACGAGUCCCGAUAAUUUCUUGUUUAAGUCCUUACAGGACGAAAGCUCAGUGAAAGCGAGCGUUAAAAGCGCAUCUUUUAAGAAAUUACCGGGGACCCGAAGCCAAGCGAGCUUACCAUGACCAGGAUGAACUUUGGCGAAAGCCGAAGGGAGGUCCGAACCCGUGGGUCGUUCAACUCCUUGGGAUGAGUUGUGGUAAGAAGUGAAAAGCUAAACGAGCUUGGUAAUAGCUGGUUCUCUCCGAAAUAGCUUUCGGGCUAGCUCUUCCAAUUAAUAUCCGGAGGUAGAGCACUGGAUGGAUUUCCUUGGGAUUUUUCUCAGGUAAUUCAACCAAACUCCGAAUGCCGGAUUUACAAAAGUGGAAGAAGUCAGACUAUGGGCGCUAAGGUCCGUGGUCAAAAGGGAAACAGCCCAGACCUUCAUCUAAGGUCCCUAAACUGAACUAAGUGUAUAAGGAAGUGGAGUUCCAUUGAUAGUUAGGAGGUUAGCUUAGAAGCAGCUAUCCUUUAAAAAGUGCGUAAUAGCUUACUAACUAAGGAAUUUUGCGCCAAAGAUUCAACGGGGCUAAGUUCAGUACCGAAGAUAAGGAUGUCACGCCAAUUUAUUGGCGGACGUGGUAGGAGAGCGUUCUUAGUGCUGCGAAGCUGAGAGGUGACUCUUGGUGGAGCGCUAAGAAGUGAGAAUGUUGGCAUGAGUAACCGCAAUCAGGGUGAGAUCCCCUGACACCGAAAGCCUAAGGUUUCCUUGGCAAUGACAAUCAACCAAGGGUUAGGCGGACCUAAGGGGAAGCCGAAAGGCGUACCCGAUGGACAGCCGGUUAAUAUUCCGGCCCUCCAGUACUUUUCUAAAGAGUAACGCAAUCUUUUAGGUUGGGCGAAUUAAUGGAUUUUUGUUUCUUGUUCGUAAGAACCGGAAAAAUAUUCUACUUCGGUAGGAUAGAUUCAACUGAAAAUGUUGCCAAGAAAAACUCGUAGGGUUAAAAGUAUUGGAUCCGUACCGUAAACCGACACAGGUAGGCUGGCGUAAUAGUGCCAAGGUGAACGGGUGAAACUUCGUUAAGGAACUCGGCAAUAAAGUGUCCGUAAGUUCGCAAUAAGGACUGCCGCUUAAAAGCGGCUUCAACAAACGUACCCCAGGCGACUGUUUACCAAAAACAUAGGUCCCUGCUCAACUCGUAAGAGGAUGUAUAGGGGCCGAGGCCUGACCAGUGCUGGAAUGUCAAAGCUGCCGGUAUUUGUCGCAAGAUAAAUGCUGAGUGGCCAAAGCACCAGUGAACGUCCGCGGUAACUAUAACCGUGUUAAAGUAGCGUAAUCCCUUGCCGGGUAAGUUCCGGCCCGCAUGAAAGGCUUAACGACUUGGGGACUGUCUCAACGAAGAGCCCGGUGAAAAUGCAAUACCGGUAAAGAUGCCGGUUACCUGCGGCUAGACGGAAAGACCCCGGGAGCUUUACUGUAGCCAGAUAUUGAGUUUUGAUUUUAGAUGCGUAGCGUAGCGGGUAGACUUUGAUGUCCUGUUCUCGGACAGGGCGGAGUCGCCAAUGAAACACCCGUCUUCUGGAAUCUUUAUUCUAACUUUGUCUGAAAUGGUGAAGGACAGUGUUUGGUGGGCAGUUUAAGUGGGGCGCUUGCCUCCUAAAAAGUAACGGAGGCGUUUAAAGGUCAGCUAGCUCCGGAUGGAAAUCGGAGUGGUCCUGUAAAGGGAAAAGCUGGCUUUACUGCAAGGCGGAUAUGCCGCGCAGUUGGGAAACCAGAACUUAGUGAACCGACCUUUUUUAGUAGAAAAGAGGAAGAUCAUCAACCAAAAGUUACCCCGGGGAUAACAGGCUAGUAGAGCCCGCGAGUUCAUAUCAACGGCUCUGUUCGGCACCUCGAUGUCGGCUCAUCACAUCCUGGAGGUGAAGAAGCUUCCAAGGGUUCGGCUGUUCGCCGAUUAAAGUGGUACGUGAGCUGGGUUCAGACCGUUAAGAAACGGAAUAGGAUUCGGUUUUUUAAUAGUCUGAAUCCAAGGUUAAGACAUCAUAAAAUAACGGCGGCGUUCAAUAGUAAUAUUGAAUGUGAAGUUGACUUAUAUCGGUGAAAUCCUUGUCAAGGACAAUACCGAGGGAAAUCUAUAUUUAUAUAGAUACCCGUAGAGACUACACGUCAACCUCCUUGAAUAAUCAAGGAAGAUAAUAUAGUCCAAUGCAUCUAGGAAUAGGUGACAACAUGCGUGAGACAGGUUGGUCCCUAUCUACCGCAGGCGUAGAGUCUUGAGGGAAGUUGACCUUUGUACGAGAGGAUCAGGUUGAACUAACCUCUGGUGUACCAGUUGUUCCGCCAGGAGCAUCGCUGGGUAGCUAAGUUAGGAAGGGAUAAGAGCUGAAAGCAUCUAAGCUCGAAGCCCCUCCCAAGAUAAAGACUCAUUAAAACCGCUCAAAGACUAUGAGCUUGAUAGACUCCAAGUGUAAGGGCCGAGAGGCCUUAAGCUGAGGAGUACUAAUAGGUUAUAAUUUUUAUAUGCCU